GGAUGUGGCUCAGUGGUAAAGUGUCUGCCUGGCAUGCACCAGGCCCUGGGUUUAAACCCCAGUACUG
This 67-nucleotide transfer RNA is filed under the name Marmota monax (woodchuck). Its description in RNAcentral is "tRNA.Ala". It matches the Rfam family "tRNA", at positions 6 to 65 of the family's 71-position model. From Rfam's summary of the family: Transfer RNA (tRNA) molecules are approximately 80 nucleotides in length. Their secondary structure includes four short double-helical elements and three loops (D, anti-codon, and T loops). Further hydrogen bonds mediate the characteristic L-shaped molecular structure. tRNAs have two regions of fundamental functional importance: the anti-codon, which is responsible for specific mRNA codon recognition, and the 3' end, to which the tRNAs corresponding amino acid is attached (by aminoacyl-tRNA synthetases). tRNAs cope with the degeneracy of the genetic code in two manners: having more than one tRNA (with a specific anti-codon) for a particular amino acid; and 'wobble' base-pairing, i.e. permitting non-standard base-pairing at the 3rd anti-codon position. Lineage: Eukaryota; Metazoa; Chordata; Mammalia; Rodentia; Sciuridae. The record is from RNAcentral.